AGGGAUAGAGAAACAGGCAGAGAAAUAGAUUGGUUGGUGCAUGGAUGGAUAGAUUCAUUCAUACAUCUAUACAUAUAUGGGGAAACAGAGAGACAUAGUUAGACAAAGAGACAGAGAAAGAUUGGUUCAAAGAAAGAGUGUUAAAACAUAGAGACAGACAGAUAGUUGAAUGCACAAAUAGAAGGACAGAUGGAUGGAGGAAUGGAUAGAAGCAUAUAUGCAUUUAUGCACAGAGAAACAUACAAAAACUUAGACAAAGAGUCAGAUAAGAAGAAUGAGAGGAAGGAAGGAAAGAGAAAGAAUUUGAAAAUUAGAAAGACACAGAGAGACAGACAGAGAGAUAGAGAGACAGAAAGAGAGAGAAAUAUUGCUUGAAAGAGAAAGAAUUUGAAAAUUAGAAAGACACAGAGAGACAGACAGAGAGAUAGAGAGACAGAAAGAGAGAGAAAUAUUGCUUGAAAGAGAUACAUAAAAAUAGAUAAAGGGCAGUAGAUACAUAGGUGCAUAGAUUAACAGAUGACUAUAUAGAUAAAUAUAUACAUAUGGAGAAAUAGAGACAGAACGAAAAACAGACAGGCAGACAGACAGAUAGCUGGAUGAAUGGAUUCAUCCAUAUGUAGAGAGAUAAAAAAAAGAGACAGUCAAUAAGAAAGAAAAAAGCUAGAGGUAGAAAAUGAUUGGUAGAACAAAGGAGAGAUAUAAAGAUGAUAGUAUAGAUGAAUGGAUAGAUGAUAGGAAGACAGAUACAAGGGGAUCAAGAAAAAUAUAUGGUUGGAUGGAUCAUUGGAUAGACAGCUAGGUAGAUCAACAGGUAGAUGAAUUGAGAGAUACAAGGAUGAAUGGAUAGAAUCAUACAUAGAUCAAGAGACAGAAAAUUAGAGAGACAGCAGGAGAGAGAAACACAGAGAGGGAGAGAGAGAGAGAUGUUGGUCGAAUGAAAGACAGAUAAAGAGCAGUAGAUACAUAGGUAAAUGGACUGAAAGAUAAAUGUAUAGAUAAAUAUAUACAUAUGGAGAAAAAGAGACAGAAAGACAUACAGAUAAAUACAUGGGUAGAUGGAUUCAUCUAUAUGUAGAGAGAUUAAAAAAGAGAGAGAGAAGAAAGAAAAAAGCAAGAGGUAGAGAAUGAUUGGUACAACAAAAGAGAUAAAAGCUGACAGUAUAGAUAAAUAGAUACAUGAUUGGAAGAAAGAUGCACAGGGAUAGAGAAAUAGAUGGAUGGUUAGAUACAAAUACAUAUAUAAACAGGUCGAUGAAUUGAUAGAUACAUGGAUGGAUGGAUAUAAUCAUCCACGCAUAAAUGGAGAAAUAGAAUAUUAGACAGAUAGAGGAAGAGAGAGAGAGAGAGAGAGCGAGAACUAUUGGUAGAAAGAGAGACAGAUGAAGAGCGGUAGAUACAUGGAUGAUGGAUGGACAUACAGAUGUAUAGAUAAGUUCAUCCGAAGAAAUAGAGAUAGAGAAAAAGAGAUACAUGCAUACAUACAUGCAUAUAUAUAUGGAUGGAUAAAUAGAUGAUCAUAUUAAGAGAUGGAUACAUACAAAAUUACACAAAGUGACAGACACACUAAACGUUUGAAAAAGUCUUAGAGAGAGAGAGACUGGUAGAAAGAUAGAAAAAUUAAGAUGGAUUAAUAGGCACACAGAGAGAUACAGAUAGAGACAGACAAAUAGAAAGAGACAGAGACAGAUGGAUGGCUGGAUGAAUACAUACAUACAUACAUACAUAGAGAAACAGUCAGAAGGUUAAGGAAACACAGUUAGAAUGAAAGAGAGAUAUAGUGGUAGGAAGAAAAAAUAGAUAUAAAGAUGGAUGGAGGGGAGGGAGGAAGGGAGGGAUGCCUGGAGGGAUGGAUAGAUGGAUGGAUAGAAAAAACAAUUGAUACAUAGAUGGAUGACUAGAUAGAUGUAUAGAUAGGCACAUCCAUCCAUACAUAUAUAGAGAAAUGAAUAGACAGAGAGUUAGAUGAAUAAAUAAUGCAUACAUAAAUAGAAGGUAUCUUGA
Long non-coding RNA from Monodelphis domestica (gray short-tailed opossum), 2001 nucleotides. The record is from Ensembl. Lineage: Eukaryota; Metazoa; Chordata; Mammalia; Didelphimorphia; Didelphidae.